Molecule: ribosomal RNA, 1304 nt
Filed under: uncultured bacterium
Lineage: Bacteria
Description: bacterial SSU rRNA
Rfam family: Bacterial small subunit ribosomal RNA
Source: RNAcentral
GAAAAUUGGCUUCGGCUGAUGAGUAUACUGGCGGACGGGUGAGUAACGCGUAGGCAACCUGCCCUUAUGGCUGGAAUAACCACGAGAAAUUGUGGCUAAUACCGGAUAAGACAUACUGUGCGCAUGUAUGGGAUGUCAAAGUUACCGCAAGGUAAUGCAUAGGGAUGGGCCUGCGUUCCAUUAGUUAGUUGGCGGGGUAAUGGCCCACCAAGACAGCGAUGGAUAGCUGAUCUGAGAGGGUGAUCAGCCACACUGGGACUGAGAUACGGCCCAGACUCCUACGGGAGGCAGCAGUGAGGAAUAUUGCGCAAUGGACGUAAGUCUGACACAGCAACGCCGCGUGAGGGAUGAAGCACUAUGGUGUGUAAACCUCUGUAGAGAGGGAAGAAAGUUAUAUACUAAAAGGUAUGUAUUUGACGGUACCUCUAAAGUAAGCUCCGGCUAACUCCGUGCCAGCAGCCGCGGUAAUACGGGGGGAGCAAGCGUUGUCCGGAAUCACUGGGCGUAAAGGGCGUGUANGCUGGUUGGUAAGUCAGAUGUGAAAGGCUGCGGCUUAACCGUAGAUGUGCAUUUGAUACUGCUGAUCUUGAAUGCGAGAGAGGGUACUGGAAUCCCCAGUGUAGCGGUGAAAUGCGUAGAUAAUGGGAAGAACACCAGUAGCGAAGGCGGCUACCUGGCUCGUAACUGACGCUAAGGCGCGAAAGCGUGGGGAUCAAACAGGAUUAGAUACCCUGGUAGUCCACGCUGUAAACGAUGGGCACUAGGUGUGGUCUCAUUAUUGGGAUCAGUGCCGCAGCAAACGCAAUAAGUGCCCCGCCUGGGGAGUACGAUCGCAAGGUUGAAACUCAAAGGAAUUGACGGGGGCCCGCACAAGCGGUGGAGCAUGUGGUUUAAUUCGAUGCAACGCGCAGAACCUUACCGGGGUUUGACAUCCCGCUAACCGCCACAGAGAUGUGGUUUGGUAGCAAUACCUGGCGGGACAGGUGCUGCAUGGCUGUCGUCAGCUCGUAUCGUGAGAUGUUGGGUUAAGUCCCGCAACGAGCGCAACCCUUGCCUCUAGUUACCAUCAAGUAAAGUUGGGGACUCUAGAGGGACUGCCGGUGACAAACUGGAGGAAGGUGGGGAUGACGUCAAGUCCUCAUGGCCCUUACAUCCCGGGCUACACACGUGCUACAAUGGCCGGUACAACGAGUCGCGAAACUGUGAGGUGGAGCCAAUCUCUAAAAACCGGUCUCAGUUCGGAUUGCAGUCUGCAACUCGACUGCAUGAAGUCGGAAUCGCUAGUAAUCGCGGAUCAGCACGCC